UGGGGAAUCUUAGGCAAUGGGGGAAACCCUGAUCUAGCCAUGCCGCGUGAGUGACGAAGGCCCUAGGGUCGUAAAGCUCUUUCGCUGGGGAAGAUAAUGACGGUACCCAGUAAAGAAACCCCGGCUAACUCCGUGCCAGCAGCCGCGGUAAUACGGAGGGGGUUAGCGUUGUUCGGAAUUACUGGGCGUAAAGCGCACGUAGGCGGGCUGUUAAGUCGGGGGUGAAAUCCCGGGGCUCAACCCCGGAACUGCCUUCGAUACUGGCUGCCUUGAGUUCGAGAGAGGUGAGUGUAAUUCCGAGUGUAGAGGUGAAAUUCGUAGAUAUUCGGAGGAACACCAGUGGCGAAGGCGGCUCACUGGCUCGAUACUGACGCUGAGGUGCGAAAGCGUGGGGAGCAAACAGGAUUAGAUACCCGCGUAGUCC
RNAcentral lists this ribosomal RNA (424 nucleotides) under uncultured prokaryote. Its description in RNAcentral is "bacterial SSU rRNA". It matches the Rfam family "Bacterial small subunit ribosomal RNA", at positions 355 to 796 of the family's 1533-position model. The record is from RNAcentral.